AGUUUGAUCCUGGCUCAGGAUGAACGCUGGCGGCGUGCCUAAUACAUGCAAGUCGAGCGAACAGAYGAGGAGCUUGCUCCUCUGACGUUAGCGGCGGACGGGUGAGUAACACGUGGAUAACCUACCUAUAAGACUGGGAUAACUUCGGGAAACCGGAGCUAAUACCGGAUAAUAUAUUGAACCGCAUGGUUCAAUAGUGAAAGACGGUUUUGCUGUCACUUAUAGAUGGAUCCGCGCCGCAUUAGCUAGUUGGUAAGGUAACGGCUUACCAAGGCRACGAUGCGUAGCCGACCUGAGAGGGUGAUCGGCCACACUGGAACUGAGACACGGUCCAGACUCCUACGGGAGGCAGCAGUAGGGAAUCUUCCGCAAUGGGCGAAAGCCUGACGGAGCAACGCCGCGUGAGUGAUGAAGGUCUUCGGAUCGUAAAACUCUGUUAUUAGGGAAGAACAAAUGUGUAAGUAACUAUGCACGUCUUGACGGUACCUAAUCAGAAAGCCACGGCUAACUACGUGCCAGCAGCCGCGGUAAUACGUAGGUGGCAAGCGUUAUCCGGAAUUAUUGGGCGUAAAGCGCGCGUAGGCGGUUUUUUAAGUCUGAUGUGAAAGCCCACGGCUCAACCGUGGAGGGUCAUUGGAAACUGGAAAACUUGAGUGCAGAAGAGGAAAGUGGAAUUCCAUGUGUAGCGGUGAAAUGCGCAGAGAUAUGGAGGAACACCAGUGGCGAAGGCGACUUUCUGGUCUGUAACUGACGCUGAUGUGCGAAAGCGUGGGGAUCAAACAGGAUUAGAUACCCUGGUAGUCC
RNAcentral lists this ribosomal RNA (804 nucleotides) under Staphylococcus epidermidis. Its description in RNAcentral is "bacterial SSU rRNA". It matches the Rfam family "Bacterial small subunit ribosomal RNA", at positions 10 to 796 of the family's 1533-position model. Lineage: Bacteria; Bacillati; Bacillota; Bacilli; Caryophanales; Staphylococcaceae. The record is from RNAcentral.